AGUCGAACGGGAUGCUUCGGCAUCUAGUGGCGGACGGGUGAGUAACGCGUGAGAAUCUGCCCUCAGAACCGGGACAACAGCUGGAAACGGCUGCUAAUACCGGAUGAGCCUACGGGUAAAAGAUUAAUCGUCUGAGGAUGAGCUCGCGUCAGAUUAGCUAGUUGGAGUGGUAACGGCACACCAAGGCAAUGAUCUGUAGCUGGUCUGAGAGGAUGACCAGCCACACUGGGACUGAGACACGGCCCAGACUCCUACGGGAGGCAGCAGUGGGGAAUUUUCCGCAAUGGGCGCAAGCCUGACGGAGCAAGACCGCGUGGGGGAGGACGGUUUGUGGACUGUAAACCCCUUUUAUCAGAGAAGAACACAAUGACGGUAUCUGAUGAAUCAGCCUCGGCUAACUCCGUGCCAGCAGCCGCGGUAAUACGGAGGAGGCAAGCGUUAUCCGGAAUUAUUGGGCGUAAAGCGUCCGUAGGUGGCAGUUCAAGUCCAUUGUCAAAGCGUGGAGCUUAACUCCAUAAAGGCAGUGGAAACUGAAUCGCUGGAGUGCGACAGGGGCAAGGGGAAUUCCUAGUGUAGCGGUGAAAUGCGUAGAGAUUAGGAAGAACACCGGUGGCGAAAGCGCCUUGCUGGGUCUGCACUGACACUGAUGGACGAAAGCUAGGGGAGCGAAAGGGAUUAGAUACCCCUGUAGUCCUAGCUGUAAACGAUGGGUACUAG
RNAcentral lists this ribosomal RNA (717 nucleotides) under uncultured cyanobacterium. RNAcentral's name for it is "bacterial SSU rRNA". It matches the Rfam family "Bacterial small subunit ribosomal RNA", at positions 60 to 819 of the family's 1533-position model. Lineage: Bacteria; Bacillati; Cyanobacteriota. The record is from RNAcentral.